AAAAAAUGUAUUCUGAAAGACAAGAAUACAACGUUCAUGUAUCACAAGGAAUGACCGAUCUAAGGCAGAGAACCUGAUUUAGAUACACAAAUUCAUCACCGGUUUCUACAGCACAAGCACAUACGCAAUGAAGUAUUAAAAGAUGUUAGUUUCUUGACAGUAUGGUUUCUCGACAAAUGAAGUAUUAUCUGACAUCAUCUGUUCAUCAUUGUGUGAGAUUAGCCAAACGAGGAUGAAAGACACUCAAACCAUCUGAUCCCGUUGUUGCAAACUCCUUUAAUGUGAGAUUCUUCAAGUUUGCACAUUUUGAGAAAAUACCAAUGUGUUUGUCAGCUUCGUCAACACACAAAGUGACAGAAUGAUGUGGAAAAACAAGGACCAUUCACCUCUUUUAAUGAAGCAAUGAAGAUUGAAUAUGCACUAGGGUUUUUUCUCUUCCGGUUACCAGGCCUAUCAUUUUCGUCUACGUUUGGUUUCCUCAACGAAGAGUAUGUUGAUAUAGGAGAGUUGAACCCGACACGUCUUCUGUGAUGAUUCGAAACAUUCCGAAUAACUAGCAGAACCCGAUCCACUUACAUUCGAAUAACGCUGAGAAUCCACAACGCUUAUGGCCAGAUUCUUUCCUUCAAUCUUGGCAAAAUCAAUGUCUGCUUGUUUUAUUAUCACGAAAGUACUGAACAACCGAGAUAGGCACAAUAACAACAACAACUUUCCAUGAUUUGGAGACUGCUUGGAAUCGAAUCAGUGAUUUUACUGGAAGCCGUUUGAUUACUUCUUGUUUUAUUAUCACGAAAGUACUGAACAACCGAGAUAGGCACAAUAACAACAACAACUUUCCAUGAUUUGGGGACUGAUCGGAAUCGAAUCAGUGAUUUUACUGGAAGCCAUUUGAUUAUUUCCUCUUGGAUCUCGAAAGGCACGUUGUCUGACAUCUUGAUUUUGAUUACCAACUCACCAUAUCAAUUUCUAGGUAGCUAACAACGCUAAUUAGAAAAAAAAACGUGAUUCGUAUACACAACGGUCUCUUUGCUUCGUCCACUAGAACUAUUUGUGUAUGCAUUCUUUUGGUAGUUAACAACGCUAAUUAAAAAAAAAUCUGUAAAAUUAAUCAUAUCGAUUGCUAUAACAGGAUGGAUGUGACACACACAGAUAGAUAAGCUGUCACAGUUGUCAAGACUGUUUGUCGGGUUUCCAAUGCUCACACAGGGUGAUAAACAACGCUGAUACGAACACAUGUGUUUCGAAAUAGGCUUUGUUCUUGGUUUAAUGAAGUUACACGUAACAUCUACUUAUAUUGAGAUUUAAACAAUGCUCGCCUCAACUGAGAUAACGGACAUCCAUCAAGCUCAAAAAGAAAACUUGUGUUUCCCAUAGUCACAAAAGAUUGUGGUUUGUAUUUCGCAUAGCCACCGUUUCCGUAGUAAAAAAUGGUUGCGGUUUGUAUUUCGCAUAGCCACCAUUUUCGUAGUAAAAAACGGUUGGGUUUGCACAUUCAAUCUUCAAUACUUCAUUAAAAUACCACUAGUAGAAGAACGCGACACGUCUUCAUGUUACGGAGAAUGUUCUAGAAAUUGAAGGAAAAGGAAAAGAUUUGUUGAAAUCGAAUUUGACAACUAUGACAGCUUAUUAAAGGUAGCAAUCACCUCCAAUCAUUUCCUGGUCAAAUCACACACUAUAAAGAUCUGAAUAACAAACUGUGGAGAACUUGUUUGUGUCGUGUCUUGUAGUUUGGAAAGAUGACCUAAUAGAGAUCUGAAUAACAAACUGUGGAGAACUUGUUUGUGUCGGGUUCUUCUGCUAGUUACUUGAUCAACGGACUGAUUGGUAACGUUACUCUACUUGUGCUCCGAUUUAAGCGGCGUGUUCCGAUCAACGUUGUUUAAAGGUGAUGAAGAGUUUAGAAACCCUAGAAUGAUGGUGUUUUUACGGGAAAAAAACGUGAUAAUUGAAAAACAUCAAUCUAUACGGCCCGUAUACAGUUAUACGACCCGUAUACAUUUGGUAAACAUCAAAAACCUCAGAAAUAAAUCCAUUGAGCCGUAUACUUUUUAUAAAUCGUAUACACUUGUAUACGGCUCGUAUAACUAUAUACGGGC
Molecule: long non-coding RNA, 2096 nt
Filed under: Helianthus annuus (common sunflower)
Lineage: Eukaryota; Viridiplantae; Streptophyta; Magnoliopsida; Asterales; Asteraceae
Description: hypothetical non coding rna
Source: RNAcentral